RNAcentral lists this ribosomal RNA (253 nucleotides) under uncultured bacterium. RNAcentral's name for it is "partial 16S ribosomal RNA". It matches the Rfam family "Bacterial small subunit ribosomal RNA", at positions 524 to 776 of the family's 1533-position model. The record is from RNAcentral.
UACGUAGGGACCAAGCGUUGUUCGGAUUUACUGGGCGUAAAGGGCGCGUAGGCGGCGCGGUAAGUCACUUGUGAAAUCUCUGAGCUUAACUCAGAACGGCCAAGUGAUACUGCAGUGCUAGAGUGUGGAAGGGGCAAUCGGAAUUCUUGGUGUAGCGGUGAAAUGCGUAGAUAUCAAGAGGAACACCUGAGGUGAAGACGGGUUGCUGAGCCAACACUGACGCUGAGGCGCGAAAGCCAGGGGAGCAAACGGG